This is a long non-coding RNA of Coffea arabica (coffee), 420 nucleotides long. RefSeq lists it as uncharacterized. Lineage: Eukaryota; Viridiplantae; Streptophyta; Magnoliopsida; Gentianales; Rubiaceae. The record is from RefSeq and is a predicted model, not a curated record.
CAGGAAUUUGGAAUUCCAAUAGAAGACAUCUGCAAUAGGCAAAAUACUAAGAACAUGACACAAUUAUUACAAAUGUUGGACCCUAACUUCUACCAAGGUUAUGAUUUGAUGUCUUCAAGUUCAAUAGCACAAUAACAUGCAUCAAUAAGUUUUGUCCAAGCACAAGAACUUGAAAAUAAUGAUGAUUCUGAUCAACAAGUUGUUGAAAAUGGGAAAAUUGAAUGAAGAUGCUUAUGAAGAAAUGGAGGACAAGACUGUGGGAUUGCGCUCAUGGAUUAAUUAGACCUUUAAGUGGAAUAAUACUUUGUGCUUAUACUUCAAUUGAUUUUGAUAUUUUUGUUCCAAUUUCUGUUAAUAAACAUUCUUUUGACUAAACUGUAGAAGAUGAGAUAUAUUAGUUGAGAUGCUCUGGAUUCUUGA